Molecule: long non-coding RNA, 2104 nt
Organism: Vicia villosa (hairy vetch)
Lineage: Eukaryota; Viridiplantae; Streptophyta; Magnoliopsida; Fabales; Fabaceae
Exons: 3
Source: RefSeq, a predicted model, not a curated record
UAUAAAAUAAGAAAACAAAUGUACCUGGAAAAUACUCAAUUGCCCUUUGCUCAAAAAAUUACACCUAAUUGUUUUGGGGGCAAAAUGUGUCUAAAAAUUACUUUUUGUGACUAAAUUCAGAAUUUGGCUACAUUGAAACUAAUGGUUUGGUCUGUUUGUGUUACCAUUGGGCCACAAAUGUACAAUAUCCAAUUUGCAUUGUAAUGUAACUGAACCAUAAAAUUUUCAUCAGUACAAAUGUUGCAGAUUUCUCCUCUGUCCCCACAGUAAAUUUUACUUUAAUUCAAAAACUAUACAAUCUUCUCUUUCUCUCUCGUCUUAUUUCUUUGUCUCUCUAUCUCUCUCUCUUUUCUCCUUCUUCUUCUUCUUCAUCUUUUGACUUCAUCUUAUCUCUUUUCUCUUCCUUUUUCUCUUCUUCUUCCGUCUUCAUUUUCUUUCCCUUUCUUCCUUCUCUUUUUCUAAUGUUAACGAAGAAAGAGAUCGGUUGGGUAUGGGUUUUUUUCCUUUCAGUUUAUAUAGAUGAAAUUAAUAAACCAGAAUACCUAAUUUGGUUUGUUGAUUUCAAUGGUUCUGCUUCAUUUCUGAUUAAAGUGAAAUUUCAGGGAAGUUGUAACUCUGCCCUUAUUUUUGUUUUGGCGGAUUCAUGAGGUAAGACUGGAUCCGAGUUUUAGGAUCUCAUGUGAUAGGUUAUUGACAAAUAUGUGAUUUUUCUAUGUCGGUGUUAUUUAUGUGUUUCUGAUUUAAAUCCAUUUCAUAUUUUAUGGAUUUGUUUCUUGUGUUUAUCAUGUGUUUGUUUGUAUUUUGUUUUUAACUCUGCCCUUAUUUUUGUAUUCUGCUUUUGUUUUUGUUUAUCAGGUUUUUAGGCAUUUGGCCUUAAAUGGUGAAGGUGGAGAUUAUUGAUGAAAUGAUUGUUGUGUUUUCUCACUCUUUCAACUUUGCAUUUGUAUUUUCUGCUUCCAAUGUUUUAGUUUUCUGGUUGGAACAAUGAUUUUGGUACUAAUAGCUUGGUUUAUGAUAGGGUGUAUAACUUUAUUUCAGUGACAUGAAACUUAUAUAAACAUUGUUGUGUCGAUAACAUAUAUGUCGGCAUUCGAUUCAAUUUUAACGGUCGGCCACAUUUUAAAAUAUCAAAUACAUUUAUUAUAAGCUUUGUGUCCAUAAAAAUUAUUUAAGAUGAUUUAUUCUGUUUGCAGAAAGUAUGAGAUAAAAGUUGAGGGAGGAUUGUGACUUCAUAGAGAGAGUUUGUGCAUUUAAAGUGAAGGUUAAGUAGAAUCAUAAAAUGGGUUAGCAGCGAUGAAUUUGUAGGUGGUGGAAACGGAUUUCCGGCAUUGUGGUGGUGGUGGGUAACACAAUGAAGAAAAGAGUGAAAGAGAUUGAGAUAAGAGUUGAGAAGAAUUUGAAAGAUGAAGAACACAUUGGUUUCUGGAAAACGAGAAAGAAGAGGACUGUUUUUUUAAUUUUCUUAUUAAGAUUUUAUUUUAAUAUUUUGCAAGUCUAGGUCAAUGUGAUUUGAUUAUAUAUUGAUUUAUUUGAUUUUAUAUUUAUUAUAUUUUGCAUAAAUAAUUUGUUAGGUAAUUUAAAUAAAUGAUCCCAAACUUUUCCUUUUUAGGUCAAUGUGAACAUCCUAUGUAAUUUUGACUAUUUUGCUUUUGAUAUUUUCUGAUUGCAAAAAUAAUAAUAGCACCCAUUUUUGUAUGCUCACUGAUUUUAUAUUUAUUUGAAUGAUUUCCGUUUGUGUUCUCAUCUUCAUCUACCGUAUAUGGUUGGCCAAAGGAAAUUCCAUGUACAUAAGAAUUCCCUCCCUCUGUUAGCAGCGAACCCAUUUCGGUAAACCAAGAUAUGAUUAGGAAACUAUUUAGGAUCAUUGGUAGACAGCCUGCACUGAAAGUUUUUAGAAAUGAUUAUAAUACAAUUGAUGGAAUUGGUGCAUGUUAUCAAACAAAACAAGACAUUGAAUGGUUCAUUUGGGCACAUUGAAUGGUUCAUUUGGGUGCAUGAAUAUUUUUUCCUACUGAAGAUCUAGCUUAGAUGUUUCUUACCUUAUUUUCAUGUUCGAAAUUACAUUCAUUUUGUUGAAGAAGUUAAUAUAGGUUAUGGGGUUUAU